Molecule: ribosomal RNA, 491 nt
Filed under: uncultured eukaryote
Lineage: Eukaryota
Description: bacterial SSU rRNA
Rfam family: Eukaryotic small subunit ribosomal RNA
Source: RNAcentral
AGUAUAACAACUCUGUACUUGUGAAACUGCGAAUGGCUCAUUAAAUCAGUUAUAGUUUAAGUGGUGUUACCUUUUUUUACUACUUGGAUAACCGUAGUAACAUAGAGCUAAUACAUGCAAAUACUUCUGACCGCAAGGAAGGGAGGCACUUAUUAGAUUACAAACCAAUCCAUGUAAAAGUGGUAUUAGGUGAUUCAUAGUAAGGUUGGAAAUCGUAUGGGAGCAAUCCUGACGAUGUACCACUCAAAUUUCUGCCCUAUCAACUUUGGAUGGUAGUAUAGAGGACUACCAUGGUGAUAACGGGUAACGGAGAAUUAGGGUUCGAUUCCGGAGAGGGAGCCUGAGAAAUGGCUACCACUUCUAAGGAGGGCAGCAGGCGCGCAAAUUACCCAAUCCUAAUACGGGGAGGUAGUGACAAUAAAUAACAAUGCUGGGUCUUAGACUUAGUAAUUGGAAUGAGAACAAUUUAAACCCCUUAUCGAGUAACCAUC